Molecule: long non-coding RNA, 1091 nt
Filed under: Penaeus japonicus
Lineage: Eukaryota; Metazoa; Arthropoda; Malacostraca; Decapoda; Penaeidae
Description: uncharacterized LOC122247905
Source: RNAcentral
CAGUGUAGCAUCGACAGAUUAACUUCUCACUUGCUAUUGAAGAUCAUUUCGUCACCGACGACCUUUUAUAAGAUAUGUAGAAUCUAUGAUUGCGGCCUUGAUGGACUUGGGCUAGUCUGCAAUGUUGACAGAAGCGUUUGUUUAUAUUUAUAACCGACUCGGCCAAACAGAAACAACGCACGGUCUUUGCAAAUAAAGUUUAGUGGUGUUUUCCAAAGUGUGUUCUAGGGGAAUGGGAAUGCAGAAUCAUAUUUACUGGUACUUAAAGUCAUCAGAAAGUUUAAGUAUUUAAAUAUGUGACGGAAGGUUGAGGUGCUACUAAGCCUCAAAAGCGUUGAAGUCUCUAUAGCAUUUCAGAUGAGACGGUAAGAGCCCGAGCAGAGAGGAGUUUAAGAUUUAACAUAUGGGGCACUGCCCCCUACUUCCGUCCACUCCAGCAGUCCCUGACACGGUGGUGCUUCCACAAAGCCAAUGUAACCUUCUUGGCUUUACGUGAAGGUCAGUUGUAAGCACCAGACACGCCUCUUGCCACACCUUUGGCCACGUUCCGGUGGGGCCGGUACGCCUGGGGUACGUACCGGCAACCUGUCGUGAUCAGCAGGCAGAGGGCAUGCCUCAUUUCCCCUCACUCGUGUGGGAACAGAGAGAAUAACCUCUUGCAACAGUCUACUUUAAAGGUGAUUAUGCUAUGCUACAAGAAAUACCCUGAAAAACAGUUACAGCAUGGGACUACUGCUAUGAAAUAAAGACCACUGCCUUCUCCCACCUGGGUGAUAGGAGAGAAGAAACCUGUUGCUGACGCCAUUCUGGGACCAAAGCAACACCAUCCCUUGGGAUAACUGUGAGGAUGUGGCCACUGCACAAGAAAAGGACCCCAAAAAUGCCAGUUACUGGACAUCCAUCACCUGUCUAUGAUGGGUGGACGUUCCCUUCGCCGACAGGGGCUAUUUACUGCCACCAAACACUCUACACAAUUGUAUGAAGGUACCCAUAUGAUUCCGGCCUUUUCACACGAAGAUGCUGAUGCCGUCUUGCAUGGGUGUAUCAAACAUUCAUAUAGUGGGGUAGAAGUAUGGGGAUGAGGGGCAACU